GAGUAUGCGCGUGCGCACCGCUUUCGGGAGCUUUUGCACAGAGCUGAUGUCAUUUGUCAGAGUGAACCGCUGUGGUCCCCGAGUUGGUGUAAGAAAGACACCGAAAGUAAAGAAGAAGAAAACUUCAGUGAAACAAGAAUGGGAUAAUACCGUGACUGAUCUAACCGUUCAUCGGGCAACUCCCGAAGAUCUGGUACGCCGUCAUGAAAUACACAAAUCGAAGAAUAGAGCAUUAGUACACUGGGAACUCCAAGAAAAAGCUUUGAAGAGAAAAUGGAGGAAGCAGAAACCAGAAACUUUAAAUCUUGAGAAAAGAAGAUUGUCUAUCAUGAAGGAGAUUCUUUCUGAUCAAUACCAGAUGCAAGAUGUGUUGGAGAAAUCUGAUCAUCUAAUAGCUGCAGCAAAAGAGCUGUUUCCUCGUAGGCGCACAGGGUUUCCAAAUGUAACAGUGGCUCCUGAUUCCUCUCAGGGUCCCAUUGUGGUAAAUCAAGACCCUAUCACCCAAUCUAUCUUUAAUGAGUCUGUCAUAGAACCUCAGGCUCUUAAUGAUGUAGAUGGUGAAGAAGAAGGAACUGUUAAUAGCCAGUCAGGAGAAAGUGAGAAUGAGAAUGAGUUGGAUAACUCUCUAAACUCUCAGUCUAACACGAAUACAGACAGGUUUCUCCAACAACUAACAGAAGAGAAUUUUGAGUUAAUUAGUAAGUUGUGGACUGACAUUCAGCAGAAAAUAGCAACCCAGUCACAAAUAACUCCUCCAGGAACGCCAUCAUCUGCUCUUUCAUCAGGGGAGCAAAGAGCUGCUCUGAAUGCUACCAAUGCUGUCAAGAGACUCCAAACCAGGCUUCAGCCUGAAGAAUCUACUGAGACUCUAGACUCAAGCUACGUUGUGGGACACGUGCUGAACUCAAGGAAGCAAAAACAGCUGUUAAAUAAAGUGAAAAGGAAACCGAAUUUGCAUGCUCUUUCCAAGCCGAAGAAAAACAUAUCAUCAGGUAGCACAACCUCUGCAGACUUACCAAAUAGGACUAAUUCCAACCUGGAUGUCCUCAAACACAUGAUACAUGAAGUGGAACAUGAAAUGGAAGAAUAUGAGCGGUGGACAGGUCGCGAGGUCAAGGGUCUGCAGAGCAGUCAGGGUCUUACAGGCUUCACUUUGUCGCUGGUGAGCUCCCUCUGUCGCCUGGUUCGGUACCUUAAAGAGAGUGAGAUCCAGCUACGUAAAGAAGUAGAGACAAGGCAACAACUGGAACAAGUAUUAGGUGAUCAUCGAGAGCUCAUUGAUGCUCUGACAGCUGAAAUUCUUCGUCUUAGAGAAGAAAACGCUGCUACACAGGCAAGACUUCAGCAGUACAUGGUCACAACAGAUGAGCAACUGAUAUCACUCACACAUGCUAUUAAGAACUGUCCUGUGAUAAAUAACAGACAAGAAAUUCAGGCAUCAGAAAGCGGAGCCACAGGUAGAAGAGUUAUGGACAGUCCAGAGCGUCCAGUUGUAAAUGCCAAUGUCUCAGUGCCAUUGAUGUUCAGAGAGGAAGUGGCUGAAUUCCCACAGGAAGAGUUGCCCGUUAAACUGUCUCAGGUGCCAGACCCUCCAGAUAACAUGAAUCUGGCCAAGAAUUUUCCAGCACAUAUUUUUGAGCCAGCUGUGUUGUUAACACCACCCAGGCAGAAGAGCAACUUAAAAUUCUCUCCUCUUCAGGACGUAUUGAGAAGGACUGUUCAAACUCGUCCUGCUCCACGACUUCCUCCAACUGUGGAAAUAAUUGAGAAGGAACAAAAUUGGGAAGAGAAGACCUUACCUAUUGAUACAGACAUUCAGAAUUCAAGUGAAGAGAAUCGUCUCUUCACUCAGAGAUGGAGAGUCUCUCACAUGGGAGAAGAUUUGGAGAACAAAACUCAGGCUCCUUUUGUUAACCUCUCACAGCCCCUCUGCAAUUCCCAUUCCAACACUCAACAGUCAAGAAGCCCCACAUUCUCAGAAGAGCUCCCAGUACUGGGAGAUGGGCAGCAGCUGAGAACAAAUGAGUCAUUAAUACAAAGAAAGGACAUAAUGACACGAAUUGCUGAUUUGACAUUGCAGAAUUCAGCUAUCAAGGCACAUAUGAAUAAUAUUAUUGAGCCCAGAGGAGAGCAAGGGGAUGGACUCCGGGAGUUGAACAAACAAGAAAGUGCAAGUGACAUGACUUCUACUUUUCCAGUAGCACAGUCUCUAACACCAGGUAGUAUGGAGGAACGGAUUGCAGAAUUGAAUCGACAAAGUAUGGAGGCUCGUGGAAAACUACUGCAGUUGAUAGAGCAGCAGAAACUUGUUGGUUUGAAUCUUUCUCCACCAAUGUCACCUGUUCAGUUACCUCUCAGAGCAUGGACUGAAGGAGCAAAGAGGACAAUUGAGGUAUCUAUUCCAGGAGCAGAAGCCCCAGAAAGCUCAAAAUGUAGUACUGUCUCUCCCGUCAGCGGGAUAAAUACAAGAAGAUCUUCCGGGGCUACUGGUAAUUCUUGUUCUCCACUAAAUGCCACCUCAGGAAGUGGGAGAUUCACACCUCUUAAUCCAAGAGCAAAGAUUGAGAAACAGAAUGAAGAAGGCUGGUUUGCUCUUUCUACCCAUGUAUCAUAAGUGAAGUCAAGUCUCACUGAGUUUGUUCUUAAUAAUUUAUUACUUCCCUUUCCCUGCUCUGACUUUUAAGUUUUUAUAUCCUUCUUUCAGAUAAAACCUACAAAGAUCCUGUGAAUUAGUACUAAUGAAACAGAGAAAUAAAGCAAUUAUUUUUUGACUUUCUCAAAUAAGUUUUCAACAACCAACUGACCUACAGCUCCCUGUGAAUGAAACUUUGACUGUAGAGAAGUUAAAGUUUUGUAUUUUAAUACUUUCUUAAGUAUUUUAAGGGUUUUUUUUAUUAAUACAUUUUUACCUUUAUCUUUAUUCAGGGUUUUUUGAGGUUUAGUAUAUCUUAGUUGAUCCAUUUAUUUAUUUAUUUUCCUGAAGAACUAAUUUGCUUUGCAUGUAACUUACAAUAAAAUUCCUCUGUGUGAUUAGAGUCUGGCUUUCAGGAAUAUGUAACACCCACUUUUCUUUCUUUUUUCUUGGGAAGUCAUUGCUGUUCAUCACUUUUUCCAUCAAGUGAAAUAUACAGCCUUAAAAACAAUAGGCCUGGGAGUGUUUGUUUAUAUUUGCUUAAGCAGUGUCAUGAGGCGGAGAAGGCCCGACCAAAGGGCGGAUAGGUACCGGGUUCCCGGAGAGCUGGACGCCGGCCGCGCAUGCGCCCCACGGCCCGCCCUGGUUCCGCCUCCCUGGAAGAGGGGUGGCGUUGUCUCGGUAACCGGAGUAAACGGAGGCCUCCGGCAGACGCUGUGAAGAGAGGAGCCGCGGCGGUCAGUACCUUCGAGGAAAUGAAGGAACCAGAUGAUCAGGAUACUGAUGGGGAGAAAUCAGUUACAUCAAAGAGUGAUGGGAAGAAGUCUCUGAGGUCUUCUAAAUCAGAAUCAAGAUCUCCUGUUCAAGAAGAUAACACAUUUUUAGAAGAUGACACAGAUGAAACAUUUACCAAAGGGGAAGGAUCAUAUUUAGAAGAAGACUCAGAUGAGGAACGUUUGGAAGGAAGUUUGAGUUCAUUUCAGUAUGGUGAUUUGCAAAGCACUACAGUACCUCAGCAAACCCCUGCUCCAGCUGUGGAAGAAGCAGAGGAGGAAGUUAAGAAGAAAAUAUCAGAGAGCUUCUUCUAUGAUUAUAUGGAGCUUGCUUCGAUGCCUUUUGUGACUCUGGAUUCAAACAUACCACUGGAUCUUCUCACACUUGUACAUUCUUUUGGUUAUGACUGUAGAAAGCGAGCCAACCUACAACUUCUGGACGACAGUAUCGCCAUAUACAUAGCUGGGAACCAACUGAUCUUUCUGAAUUUGAAAACCAAGGAACAGAUCUACCUGCGAAGUAGCAGUGGUGAAGGAAUUGGCGUCAUUGGGGUUCAUCCACAUAAAACUUAUUUCACAGUAGCUGAAAAAGGGAGUUUUCCAGAUAUUAUCAUCUAUGAAUAUCCUUCUCUGAGACCAUACAGAGUCCUUCGAGGUUCUGGGAAAUGGCUUUUACGUUCACCGGUCUCAAGCUGCAGGGAUCACUAGGUCGAUUUGGCAAAACAAUCACUACUGAUAUAGAAGGCUACAUGGAGCUCCCAGAUGGGAAGGUGCUCUCAGGGUCAGAAUGGGGCAACAUGCUGCUUUGGGAAGGUGGUCUGAUCAAAGUGGAGCUCUGUCGAGGGACAAGCAAGUCAUGUCACAAUGGUCCCAUUAACCAGAUAAUGCUGUAUGAGGGUGAAGUUAUCACUGUUGGGUCAGAUGGAUAUGUUAGGAUAUGGGAUUUUGAGACAAUAGACACUGCUGAUGUAAUAGAUGAGACUGGAUUGUUGGAGAUUGAGCCUAUUAAUGAACUUCAAGUAGACAAGAAUGUGAAUCUCUUCUCUAUGAUAAAAAUGAAUGAAACUGGAAAUAACUUUUGGUUGGCUCAGGAUGCCAAUGGAGCCAUAUGGAAGCUUGACCUUAGUUUUUCAAAUAUUACCCAGGACCCAGAAUGCCUCUUCUCCUUCCAUUCUGGAGCUAUUGAAGCCGUGGCUGUUUCUCCUCUCACUUAUCUCAUGGCCACAACUGCCUUGGACUGCUCUGUUCGAAUCUAUGAUUUUGCUAGCAAAACUCCUUUGGCCCAGAUGAAAUUCAAACAAGGAGGUACUGCCCUUGUUUGGGUACCCCGAAUGGUAAACUUCACUGGAGCACAAAUUAUUGUAGGAUUUGAAGAUGGAGUUGUUCGAAUUCUUGAACUUUAUGAUCCAAAAGGGCUCACGAUUUUUGCGGGACGGAAGAAAAUUUUGGAUGCUGAUAUUCAGUUGAAACAGGUUUUCAAACCCCAUACUGCUUGUGUCACUGCUUUAGCUUAUGAACGUGAUGGGGAAAUUCUAGCCACAGGGAGUAAAGAUCAAACUGUUUUCUUCUUUGAAGUGGAAAGGGAUUAUAAGCCGAUUGGUUAUAUUAAUACUCCUGGACCUGUGUGUCAGUUAAUGUGGUCUCCCAUGUCUCAUCCUGAAAGUACUUUACUAAUUAUCUGUGAAAAUGGCUAUAUUCUUGAAGCUCCACUUCCAACCAUAAAGCAAGAAGAGGAUGAUCAUGAUGUAGUCUCCUAUGAAAUCAAAGACAUGUGCAUAAAAUGUUUCCAUUUUUCAAGUGUCAAAUCUAAGAUUCUGAGAUUAAUAGAAAUUGAAAAGAGGGAGAGACAAAGGGAGUUGAAGGAGAAAAUAAGGGAAGAAAGGAGGAACAAGCUAGCAGCAGAGAUGGGAGAAGAUGGAGAAAAAGAAUUUCAGGAGGAGGAAGAGGAGAAAGAGGAGGAGGAGGAGGAAGAAGAGCCAUUACCUGAAAUAUUUAUUCCGUCAACCCCCUCUCCCAUCCUCUGUGGAUUUUACUCAGAGCCAGGGAAGUUCUGGGUUUCUUUGCAUUAACAAAGUUAUGAUGUUUUGUGGAAUGAAAAAUGGAGCAAUUCGAGUCUAUGUCCUAAAUCAAAAUGAUCCUUCAUUGACCAGUUUGGUGGACUACUGGCACUUCAAUAUGCAUGACAAUAAUUAUGGAUGUAUUAAAAGUAUUGCUAAUAGCUUUGAUGAUCGUUUCUUGGUGACUGCUGGAGCAGAUGGCAAUAUCUUUGUUUUCAACAUUUUUUCUGAAUUUAUGCUAAGGAAAGACAUGAAGGCCAAAGUUCCAUCUCCCAGGUUUGGAAUUGAAACAGAGCCAAUUCCAGAAGACAUUGAAGAUCCCAAAGCCUACAGUAUCGAGAAUGCUAGGAGAAAAAGAGAACAUGACAAGUUAAUGAAAGAAGUGGGAGAAAUAAAGGCACGGAAGAGAGAGCAAAUCAAAGCUUUGAGGAGUGAAUUUUGUAAUCUAUUAGAAAUGAAUGAAAAAUUACCAAAGCAUAUGCAGUUUAAACGAACAGAUUUUGAUGUAGAUUCCCAAAUCCGUGCUGAGAUGCACAGAAAAACAGCUUUCAAAAUUCAACAAGUGGAAAAGGAAUUAGCUUGGGAAAAAGAGAAACAUGAACUCGGCCUAAUGAAGCUAAAGAAUCGGUGGGAGUGUUACCAUACAAGAAGAAUCAAUAAUAGAAAAAGGGAAGAAAUUUCGGCCUAAAACCCUAAGUGAAAUCAUCGUGGAAAAUCAAAUUGAGAAAACGAGAAAACUUAUAUUAAAAGCUGAAAGGGCACAACUAAAGAUUCAACAGCGAAAAAAAGAAUGGGAGGAACUGUCCAUGGAAAUAAAAGGCACAUGAACAAGUGCAUUCUCUCUCUUAGAGACCUUAAAGUGGCUGUUGUUGAGGAAAUACAGUGCCUGGUACAAGAACUGAAGAACAUUCAGUCGACUCUUCACAUAUCCAAGCACAUACCCAUUCCCAAAAUUCCUCAGAUACACCCAGAAGAAGUUCCAGAAAAGAGAUUUCAGUAUGAUGAAGAAACUCUCCUAAAUUUUAAGCAACAGCAAAUGAAAAGUAAAGAUGAAAAGUCCCCCGGAGUGGAACAGACAGGGUCUGGAGGCCCAGUUGGAGGAUUCCUCAAACUCUCUUCUAGAAAGGAUGGGGAUUUGACAACCCGUGAUUCAAUAUCUAGAUCAUCAAAGGCAUCAACAUUCAGCCUAGAUAUACCAAAGUGUUUGGAAUUUGAAAAAGCAGAGCCAACGGAUGUGGAGCUGGAAAUUAUGAAGAGAGACGAGAUUAAACACGUGUACAUGCAACAGUAUUUGGUCAACAGGUGGAAAAUAAAUGAAACUCUUAAAGAGAUGGAAGAGAAAAAGAAUGAAAUCACCAAACUCCAGGAGCAAGAAAAGGCACUCUAUGCUGGUUUUCAAGCAGCCAUUGGAGAAAACAAUAAAUUUGCAAACUUCCUCAUGAAGGUCCUAAAGAAGAAGAUUAAACGGGUAAAGAAAAAAGAAGUUGAAGGAGAUGCUGAUGAAGAUGAGGAGAGUGAGGAAUCAAGUGAAGAAGAAUCUAGCUUGGAGAGUGAUGAAGAUGAGUCUGAAUCAGAAGAUGAGGUUUUUGAUGAUUCUAUUUGCCCAACAAAUUGUGAUGUGGCUCUUUUUGAGCUGGCCCUUCACCUUCGAGAGAAAAGGCUGGACAUUGAGGAGGCUUUAGUUGAAGAAAAGAAAAUUGUUGAUAACCUCAAAAAGGAAUAUGAUACAUUGUCAAAAAAAGUGAAAAUUGUGGCAACUAAUCUGAAUGCAGCAGAGGAGGCCCUGGAGGCUUAUCAGCGAGAGAAGCAGCAGCGGCUGAAUGAACUGCUAGUUGUGAUUCCGCUCAAGCUCCACCAGAUAGAGUAUGUGGUAUUUGGAGAAAUACCUAGCGAUCUUUCUGGUACUUUGGUCUUCUCUAACCAUGCCUUGAGACGGCUGCAAGAACGAAUCCAUGAGCUCCAGGAGGAAAAUUCCAAGCAGCAAAAACUUAACAAAGAAUGGAGAGAGAGACGUAAACAGCUCAUCCGAGAAAAGAGAGAAAUGACAAAAACCAUACACAAAAUGGAGGAAACAGUCCGGCAGCUCAUGAUCAGCAAGUUUGGCCGUGUGGUAAAUCUAGAAGCCCUUCAAACGCUUUCUGUUAAUACAACACUUGAAGAACUGAAGAUCAGAAAACUUCGAAAGGAGCUAGCAAAUGCGAAAGAGAUGAAGAUGUGGGAGGAAAAGAUUGCUCAAAUGCGAUGGGAACUGAUGAUGAAGACAAAAGAACACACCAGAAAGCUUUAUCAGAUGAAUGAUUUGUGUAUUGAAAAGAAGAAACUUGAUUCUCGGUUGAAUACACUACAGAAUCAGCAGGGCAAUGCCUUCCAGGGCCCUCGGGAAGCAGAUGUUGUGGCAAGAGAGGAGGUCACUGAAUUGAUCCAACUCCAGGCGGAAAGGAUUUCGGCCUUAAAGGAGGAGAUUGCUCUUUUGCGUAGGAAAGGCAGUCUUAUCCUCCCACCCAUUCAGUCUCCACGAGAGAAAGAGAUACAGCCCGCAGACCUUUGAGUUUGCUAUUUUCUCAAACCCAUACAAGAUUUCUGACAUAACUCACUGGAAGUUCUGUCUCCUCAUCACCUCCAACAAUCUUAUUACUUUAAACUGAACUCGCCUGAAAGUGUAAAACCAGAUCCAGUCACGUUAAGUCACUUUAAGAAUCUCUCUACAAUUUGGUUAUCUUAGAACUGACUGCAGCACCCAACCUCUGUUAUGAAACUGAAUCAUUUUAGAUGUUUCGAACCUACUAGAUUGAAUAUGAAGUCUCGGAAGGCUGUGUUUCAUGAUUGCAGCAAAUCACCUGUAAUAUAUUUUGUUUUAGGAAAAUUUGAUUUGGGGGUAUCCUGAAUUUUUAGCCCUUGGCAAGAAAAACUAUCAUUCAGCAAUUCAUGAGAAAACUUUGUUUUCUUGAUCCUUAGAAAAUAAACUUAGAUGUUAUUAAGUGUUCUCUGAGAGGAUGCAGGAGAAAAGGACAUUUUGUCAGCUAUAUCUUAGAAUAGAAAUGCAAAUUUCAGUUUUGGCAUUGUUGACUUCAUAAAGCAGUGUUUUGAGGGCUCAGGAUUCAGGAAAUACAAACAGACAUGGCAGAGCAGUUUGCUUUGGGUUGGCAGAAAGCAGGAAAAUAACCAGCCUUCUUGGAUUGCCCACAGUUUUUGUAGACUCCUCAGUUCUGAGUGGAGCAGAGGGGCAUGCUUAAUAAAACAGUCAAUAAAGAGGCUUUUCUUUAAAGAUUUCUGCAACUCCGUCAGAAUUCUAAGUUUUCCCCAUAGUUUCUCAUGUCCCCUGCCAUUUUCUUUCAGGUUUUACUUGGGCCAUUUGCUGGUUUUGAUAUAGAUGAGGAGAUAAUGAAAUAGAUUUACUAGAGAUCAUCUUUAACAAUCACCUUUGAUUAUGCAUAACAUUUUAAACUAAUUGAAGAGUAUCCUUUUGGUUUGGGGGUAAGUGCUCAUUGAAGUUCAUGGCUAUAACCAUUGCAGGAUAAUCUCACUGACAUUUGGAAUCCUGUUAGUAACAGAGCAUAGCUCUUUAGAUUAAGAGCUCUGUAUUAACGAGCUACUCAUUGAGGCUGUUCCAGGAUAAGCUGGUCACUGAGAAGGGCGGGUGAAGAAAGGAACAUUGCAUAAAUGUAGAAGGGAACUCAGCAAUGCCAAGUCUUCCUCACCUGUGAUUAGCCUGCUAAUGUGCCCCCCAAAAUUACAGACAGGUCUUGCUUUCUUUGUACAUCAGCAUAUUCUUAGAGGUGGCCACUUGGCCUAUUGUCUUCCUAAGAUUCCUUCAUAUUCCUAUUUAAGAGGUCAGAAUACCUUAUUGUUUGCACUUGUCACCAUUAAUUUCUGAUGUAGUCACUUCUCUACUGGAGAGCACCCACUUUUUUUUUUAAAUCACUUUCUGUGUUGUAUAUCCUAAGCCAUGUGUGCCUUUCAAGUAUUUUUAAAAAUAUGCUAGUCAUAGCCCUGAGUGUCUUAUUUAUUGCGGUAAAAAAUUACCCCCAAACUUAGCUUGAAACAACAAACUUGUGAUCUCACCCAGGAGUGAGAGGGUUUCUGAGGUCCAGGAAUCUGGGGACAGCUUGGCCGGGUGUUCUGGCUCAGGGUCUUUCGUGGAGUUGCAGUCACACUAGGAGCUGGGGCUGCAGCCAUCUGAAGCUUGGCUGGAGCUGGAGGGGCUAUUAGCAAAUUCACUCCCUUGGCCAUUAGGCAGGGCUUCAGUUCCUCGCCAUGUGGGCCUCUCCAUAGGGCCGCUUGGGAUAUGACUUCUCCCAGAGCAAGUGAUCCAAGAGUGAGGGAGACAGCAAGAGAGAAUGAUGUAUACAAGAGCCACAGUCUUUUACAGCCCAAGCUCAGAAGUGACAUAGCGUCACUAUUGUCAUAUGGGUCACAGGCUGACCCUGUGUGAUGUGGGAGGGGACUGAACAGGGUGUGAAUGCCAGGUGGGGGUCACCGGGGCCUUCGUGGGAGCUGGCAGCCACAAGAAGCAGCUGCCUGGAGAGAGUGGCUGGUCUCUGAGAAAGGUCUUGAGGCGAUACCAUCCCCUUGGUAAUUGUAGAGAAUCAGGAGAAGUUACGUUAUCUUCCUGGGCCUCAUUUUAUUAUCUGACAAAUGAAGGAUUGGUAGAAUGGGUUCCUUCCCAUUCUGAGAUUCUGAUUCUGAUUGCAGCAAGAAUGGACCUACAGUCUACAGAAGAGCCACAUCAGGACUUGCUGUGCAUUUCAACUGAGAGGAAAGCUAAUCGGGAUAAUUAUUCCCAAACUGAGCUGGACUAAAUCACUAGUUAAUUCUACAAUAUUCAGGGCUUCAUUCCGCAUGUUUGGGAAUUGACGACAGUUAACACUGAAUUACUUUAUUUUGAAUUGGACAAAAUAUGUUGAUAGCUUUAGGUUCAUUUCAACUUGAUUCCAGGCUUAGUCUUAAAUCUGUAGUUAAGUUAGAGCAUCUGAGUCUUUGGGAAGUUAAGCUUCAAACACAAGUAGACCAGCAGGGUGUGGCAUGGGCAGGGUGGCUGGGAAGCUAUCCUGCUCCUGGCACACUUCCCUGCCUUCUGCUGUGCUCCCAGAGGAGCAGCCUCACCUCUGAGGGUAAGGCCAAAAAUCAGCCUACACUGAGUUACUUGUGGGUCAAUUGUUCAUAUAACUUGGCUCUUCUGAACUGUCAUCCAUAGUAUCACCGAUGAUCAAUCUCAGCAUUGGAAGAAAAAGAAACCACAGAGUCCAGCCCCUCUGUCACAACUUCAGAGUAAAGGAGUUGCUCAUGCCUGCCAGCCAGCCUGUCCCACCACAGCGGGCUCCCCAGCUUAGGGAGGUCUGUGAGCCAUGUGCUAAAUUUCUCUUUAGAGCUAAAUCCAUUGAGUGCUAUGAUUCCAGUGCUGUGCAGAAAGCAGAUGUUUCACCUAUCACUUCAGAAAAGUUCACCAGACUUCAUUUUGACAGCUACCUUAGAUCAUCAAGGAGAAAAAGGAAAAAAUGUAAAAACCAGUGGGGCUAGAAGGUGAGUUACAGCUCAGAUUGGGGGGCCUCUGGAUAGCAAAGCAAUGACUGAGAGCGUCAGCCCUACCCACCCCAGAAGUGAGCUCUGGGCCGUGAUGCCAGGUUGUCUGAAAUCACAGUAUCUUAUUUUUUCUCUUCUCUUCCCUGCUCUGCUUCUCAUUUCCUAACAUUUACCUGUUCCUUACAGUCCUUCCUUUUAAAUAAUAUUUUUAAAAUACUGCUUUCCUGAAAACCAUGCUGCACUUCCACAUGAAGUUCUCUCUGACGUUGAGCUUGAUGGAAAAAGGAUGCAGAAGUCAGGAAUAGCAGGUGCUAUACUUAUUUUGGCCAGCAGAGGAUGCACUUGCCCUAAACAGUCAGAGUGACUCUUCCCUAGGACCCUGUUUAUCAAAUUCUUCAUGUUUAAAAGCCAGGGUCUGGCCCCCCACUUAACGAGAUUGUCUCAAGUGGCAUUUCAUCUGUAACUCAAUUUUACAGAAAUCUAGAAAAUACAGGCUCCCCCCACCCUCUCCAGCCCCAAAACACAAAGCGUAGUAAGGCUUUCAUUGCAAGCAUCAGUCUCCAUCUAAUUCCACUUCCACAUAUAAAGAUUUUAAAAUUUCAAUUAAAAAAGAAUCUAUGGUUGAUCCUUUGGUUGGACAACAGUAAGUAAAUGUUGAUUUUAAACUAGUGAGUCAACUACUCUGGCAAUGUUGGUGUAUCUUUGGAAAGAAGGGAAGUGAAUUUAUUAUGCACCAUAUGUCCAUGUGUGGCACAGCACUUAGCUAAACAGUAUUUUGGAGAAAAUAUUUGGUCUUCAACACACACCUAUAUAAAAAAGAUUAGUUCUAUUUCUUCAAUAUGACCUAAACUUCAUCUCAAGUCCAGUUGGUAAGAGAACUAUGAACCUGUUUUUCCUGGUCUGUUGUACAACGGUUCCCUUGUGGACUAAACGGUAAUGUGUUCUGCAUGAAUCCAAGCACAACUGACAUUCACUGUUUUAAAAAACAAAAAAGAGAAACAUUUACUACCUUUUUCAGAUCUCAUUUCUGAUGGACCUGAAAAUAUUGUAAGUGGGUAUUUUCUUCAAAUACUCAGAGACUGAAUUCUAACAUGUAAAGAAAAUGCUGACUCACACAUGACUCAGUUUGAAGGUUACAGGGAAGACUAAACAUUUAUUUAGAAGUUACAGUGUUUGUUUUUACAGAGAUAUGUUGCCACGGAUUAUUGAUUCUGGAAGGUUUUUUAAUGCUCAUAGUGCUGUACACAUCUUGGUCUGUUCUCAUGGGCAUCUUAGGAAAAUGUUUCCCGUAGCACCGGAUCCAGCCAUCUGUGUGGGUGUCUCCAGGCUGUGAUACCGUGCCCCUUGCUGUUCCCUCAUGCUCGUGAUGAACCAUGUGCCUGGGAUCCUUCCUCUUGCCAGCUUAUCUGUGGGCCUCCUGCAGCCUCGCCUGCCACUGCAGAGGCCCCAGGUUAGGAGUCUGUCCCGCGCCAGCCUGUGCGGUGCUUUCCUGGGUGACUCCUGUUAGGUGGCAGCUUCUUUAUUUUCCCUCUCCAACCUCAACGGGUAGGACUCCUUAUGUCUCUCCAGAAUUAUAAAACAUAUACAUUUAUUUACAAGUGCAUAAAUAUAUAAAUAUGGCUAUAAUAGAAAAAUAAAUACCAAUUUUCUCUGUC
This 12637-nucleotide long non-coding RNA is filed under the name Homo sapiens (human). RNAcentral's name for it is "SPICE1-CFAP44 readthrough (NMD candidate), transcript variant 3 (SPICE1-CFAP44)". The record is from RNAcentral. Lineage: Eukaryota; Metazoa; Chordata; Mammalia; Primates; Hominidae.